RNAcentral lists this ribosomal RNA (253 nucleotides) under uncultured bacterium. Its description in RNAcentral is "partial 16S ribosomal RNA". It matches the Rfam family "Bacterial small subunit ribosomal RNA", at positions 524 to 776 of the family's 1533-position model. The record is from RNAcentral.
UACGUAGGGGGCAAGCGUUAAUCGGAAUUACUGGGCGUAAAGCGUGCGCAGGCGGUUAUAUAAGACAGGAGUGAAAUGCCCGGGCUCAACCUGGGAAUUGCAUUGGUGACUGUAUAGCUAGAGUACGGGAGAGGGGGAUGGAAUUCCGCGUGUAGCAGUGAAAUGCGUAGAUAUGCGGAGGAACACCGAUGGCGAAGGCAAUCCCCUGGACCUGUACUGACGCUCAUGCACGAAAGCGUGGGGAGCAAAUAGG